UGAGGCAGCUGAAUGGUCGCAUGCCUAUGGCAUGAGGAAAGUCCGAGCACCGCAGGGCAGGGUGCCAGCUAACGGCUGGUGGAGGCGACUCCAAGGCAAGUGCAACAGAGAGAUACCGCCGAGUAAUCGGUAAGGGUGGAAAGGUGCGGUAAGAGCGCACCGGCGGCCUGGCAACUUGACCGUCAUGUAAACCCCACUUGGUGCAAGAUAGAUGAAAGCGCAUGGGGCGGCCCGUCCCGCUUUCGUAAUCGCUUGAGCCUUCCGGCGACAGAAGGCCUAGAUAGAUGACCAUUCCAGACAGAACUCGGCUUACAGGCUGCGCUCAUCAU
RNAcentral lists this RNase P RNA (329 nucleotides) under Clostridiales bacterium. RNAcentral describes it as "RNase P RNA component class A". It matches the Rfam family "Bacterial RNase P class A". Rfam says of the family: Ribonuclease P (RNase P) is a ubiquitous endoribonuclease, found in archaea, bacteria and eukarya as well as chloroplasts and mitochondria. Its best characterised activity is the generation of mature 5'-ends of tRNAs by cleaving the 5'-leader elements of precursor-tRNAs. Cellular RNase Ps are ribonucleoproteins. Lineage: Bacteria; Bacillati; Bacillota; Clostridia; Eubacteriales. The record is from RNAcentral.